This 200-nucleotide unclassified non-coding RNA is filed under the name uncultured Humicola. Its description in RNAcentral is "sequence contains ITS2". The record is from RNAcentral. Lineage: Eukaryota; Fungi; Ascomycota.
UUAAGUUCAGCGGGUCUUCCUACCUGAUCCGAGGUCAACCUUGGGUAAAUAAGGCUUUUAACGGCCGGAACCCGCAGCACGCCCUGAGCGAGAUGUAUUACUACGCUCGGAGUGACUAGCGAGCCCGCCACUGGUUUCAGGGCCUGCGGCAGCCGCAGGUCCCCAACACAAGCCUGGGGCUUGAUGGUUGAAAUGACGCU